Molecule: ribosomal RNA, 395 nt
Filed under: uncultured bacterium
Lineage: Bacteria
Description: bacterial SSU rRNA
Rfam family: Bacterial small subunit ribosomal RNA
Source: RNAcentral
GUGCCAGCAGCCGCGGUAAUACAGAGGGUGCAAGCGUUGCUCGGAUUUACUGGGCGUAAAGCGUACGCAGACGGCGACGUCGGUCGGGUGUGAAAGCCCCGGGCUCAACCCGGGAACUGCACUCGAAACCUCGUUGCUCGAGUGUGGGAGAGGGUAGUGGAAUUCCUGGUGUAGAGGUGAAAUUCGUAGAUAUCAGGAGGAACACCGGCGGCGAAGGCGGCUACCUGGUCCACAACUGACGUUCAGGUACGAAAGCGUGGGGAGCAAACAGGAUUAGAUACCCUGGUAGUCCACGCUGUAAACGAUGUGUGCUGGAUGUCGGGGGUAUUCACCCCCUCGGUAUCGAAGCCAACGCGCUAAGCACACCGCCUGGGGAGUACGGCCGCAAGGUUGAA